Molecule: long non-coding RNA, 366 nt
Filed under: Lonchura striata (white-rumped munia)
Lineage: Eukaryota; Metazoa; Chordata; Aves; Passeriformes; Estrildidae
Description: domestica (Bengalese finch) lncRNA (ENSLSDG00000004035.1)
Source: RNAcentral
UUCCUGAGGGUUUGGGGCAUUUUUCCUGCGUUUCUGUUUUUUCCCAUUGACGGCUGCUGUUAUCCCGGUGUUCCCGAGGUUUUUCCCAGGAUUUUUCUCGGUGCUUUUCCAAGGAUUUUUCUCCUUGUUUCCAGAAUUUCUCCCGGUGUUUUUCCCAGGAUUUUUCUCCAUGUUCCCAGGAUUUUUCCCUGGGUUUUUCCCGGUAUUUUUCCCAGUGUUCCCAGGAUUUUCCCCAUGAUUUUUCUCUGUGUUUUUCCCAGGAUUUUUCCCGCUAUUUUCCCCGGUGUUCCUGCUAUUUUUCCCGCUAUUUUUCCCGCUAUUUUUCCCACUAUUCCCGCUAUUUUCCCCGCUAUUCCCGCUAUUUUU